UAGUAAAGUUAGAUGUACAUUUAUGCUAGUCUCAAUGAGAGUUUUAUUCGAGUUUUAUCUGCAUUUAAUAAGCUAUCACAUAAGUAUUUUUUAUGAUGUGUCACCAUAUUUAAGAAAAGAGAGAAGAAAUGAGUUUCAUGGAGAUAAAAUUCUCUUGGUACAAUUACGAACUCUGUAUAAACUAUGGCAUUAAUGUUUAUGAAACUAUAGAAUGAAACUAUACAUUGAAAGUGGUUCUUUCAUUUAAGUUUUAUUUUAUUUUAUUUUUUAGAAAGGACGGCAAAAGCUUUGCCGUGGGUUUUAUUAGACGAUAAAAAGAAAAACAAAACAUGUAUAGAGAAAAAACAUCCUGAAAAUUUACCAGAUGAAACAAAUCUGCCCCUCCACAACUACAAAGAAACCAAAAACAACUCCCUAAAAACAAAAAAAAAACAGCAUAUUUCAUUUUAUUUGAUGUGUCAUUCUUAGAAACAACGUUAUGGAACUUGCCACUGAGAUUGGCUUUAGGAGAAAUAGAAAGCCUUGAAGUUACUUCACUUUACUAUAAAUAAUGGUGUAGGUGGGUAUUUUUAAAAGAGAUUAUAGGUCAACUAAUGUUUAUUAUUAUAAUGGUGAAAAUCUAUUAAAUUAAUGGUCUAAAUCUUUCUGAUUUUUCGUGUUUCAUUUUCUGGGUCAACUCUAAGCUUUCAAGAUCAUGCGUGAGAGCUAAACAAUCGUGGUGCUGUCAUGACUUCACUUCGCUUUAUUGCUCUAUGUUUAUCGUGCUCUUGGCUGUCAAAAUUGCCAUAGUUGACAAAGCAUACUGUAUCA
RNAcentral lists this long non-coding RNA (810 nucleotides) under Sorghum bicolor (sorghum). RNAcentral's name for it is "long non-coding RNA (SBIC_LNC007195)". The record is from RNAcentral. Lineage: Eukaryota; Viridiplantae; Streptophyta; Magnoliopsida; Poales; Poaceae.